This 928-nucleotide long non-coding RNA is filed under the name Struthio camelus australis. RNAcentral's name for it is "lncRNA (ENSSCUG00000010224.1)". Lineage: Eukaryota; Metazoa; Chordata; Aves; Struthioniformes; Struthionidae. The record is from RNAcentral.
UGCAGAUGUACUCAUCUGUGGAUGCCAAAGCCUUCUUGAAAUGUAGUUGCUGAAUUUAGGCAAGCUAGAUAAGAUUUUUGAGAAAUAAGUUAUUUCCUUCUGAUUUUCUUCAAAAUAAUCUUUCCUCCUAACUUAGAUAUGUUUCUUCUCUUAUGCUUGUUCUCUUUUCACUCUGUACUCAGAGCAGUGAGUAACAUGUGGUACGUGCAUUUGCAAAUUCAUAUCACCUUUUUUAAUAUAUUCAUUGCAGUACGUGAUUAAGUUGAAAAGUAAAAUUCUUGUUGUUUGCUACCAUGCAAGCCCACUUUCUUUAGGGUGAGUUCCUAAUACUCUCAUGAUUUCCCAACUAUCAUGCAAAGGUCAACAAGCAGAGUGGGGUGCAGAUCUUUAAACAUAGUUGCUUUCAGAGUCUUCCAAACUCUGGUCUUUGUUCUCUGGGGGACAUUCACAGAAGCCAACAUCUUCUCAAUCCCCCUGCUCUCCAGCUAUAAUGAAAAGAAAGAGGGAGAUUGAGGCUGUGCCAGAAGGAGAAUAGAAGUACCUGAAGUUACUCUGAAUCCUCCUCUGCAGGAGCAUUUUCUUCCACUACCUAUUGAAGUGAAGUCUCCUUAGCUAAAGGUGGCGGAAAUCCAAGGCGUGAUGACCUGGCCUCCUCCUGUGAGAACGCUUGGCAAACAGCUCAAUUUCUGGCCUAUCUUUGAAUCGCAAGCAUGCACCCUAAACUUGUCGAGUGAAUGGCAGGAGGUGGCAUGUUGCUGUCUUGUCUCUGCUUUUGGAAAAGAUCAGAACCUGAGCUUCCUGAUGGCACAACCAUACUGUGGUUUCCAUGGCAGAUCUGGGAGAUGAUGUUUCCCAUGAGGGUUAUUUAUACAACUAUUUUCAGGUAGGUUCCAGACUAGCGAACAUGAUGUGCUUUGUGUCUUAUUUU